UUUUGCUUUGUAGGGUAUUGGAUCAUCAGAAGAUUCUGAAAAAGAAAAAGUAUAAAACCAAAUGGUGGUUGUCAAGGGAAAAUUGAAAGCAACUUCAAGUCGAGUUGCAGGAGAUCAAAAAAAAUCUGAAGAGUGGAGGAAAUCUAUGUAGUUCAACAAAGGGAAUGUUCCGAGCAAUUCAAGUGUGUCAAAAGUUAUUUAAAUUGCUUAUCUUCUUCAGCAUUUGUUGAUUUUGGCGGUUGUUUGGGUAAAAUGGGAACAAAUAUAAGUCAAGGUGUUGGUGUUUGUAAUACUUCAAGGAGAGUAAAUCAGCUUUCGGGAAGGGAAUGUCAAAUGAAGAGAAGAAAAAACUAAAACAUGAAUUGAAGUUCCUCAAGAUGGAGGGCAUAUCAUCUAUUCAUGGAAUCUCUGCCACCUGACUUUGUUACAAUAUUGCAUACAGACUAAGAAAGGAAAAUGUAGUUCUUUUCUCAAAUAGAUGCUAACUGAAGAAAUUGUUUCACCGUUUUUACCCCCUUUGUUAUUCUCUUGCAGUGGGCUAUUGAGGUCUUUAUGUAGCAAGUCGGGUGCUCCACAACGAGUGCGGCUGCUAGUCUAUGGAAAAUAUGCAUUAUGCCACUCCCCCAAACUGAAUCCUAAAUCUAGUAAAACUUAGUAAAACGUGCACACAACUCCAGCAAGUUGUCCAAGAAACAAUUUUGUUGUUAAGCUUUUGCCAAGUAAAUCUUGUUCCUACUAGA
This is a long non-coding RNA of Vitis vinifera (wine grape), 740 nucleotides long. RefSeq lists it as uncharacterized. The record is from RefSeq and is a predicted model, not a curated record. The transcript is spliced from 5 exons. NCBI's taxonomy places the organism in Eukaryota, Viridiplantae, Streptophyta, Magnoliopsida, Vitales, Vitaceae.